Molecule: non-coding RNA, 446 nt
Organism: Zootoca vivipara (common lizard)
Lineage: Eukaryota; Metazoa; Chordata; Lepidosauria; Squamata; Lacertidae
Source: RefSeq, a predicted model, not a curated record
CUAAGCAAAAACAAAAAACUGGCACCUAGACAUUAUGUUGUAGCGAGCGUAAUCUAGGUUUAAGGUACCACUUGGCUUAUAUAUCUGAGUUUCUAACACUGUAUCCUUUGUAGAUAAAUAGAAACAGUGGUAGCAUAAUAUAUUUUUUAAAAAACCAGGAUUCCUUUCCUGUUGCGCUUUCCGAGGGAGCUUCUACAGAAUCACCUCCUCCCCUAUUUUAUCAACCCGCUGCUGUUCAAAAAGUUGCCCGGGAGACUUUCAAUUAGGCUGCUAAGCUGCCGUGGUCUUGAGCCCCCAUCAUCAUCUGCUACUGAUCUGGUAGACAAGGGACCCCUGGCUUUCAGCCCAUCAAGGCUGCCCACAGGCAACAGCAGACCUUGCUGCGAUUCUGCUUUUUACACAGCCCUUUGCCCUUGGCAGCCACCCAGGAAUCUUAUGCAGAAAUA